RNAcentral lists this long non-coding RNA (308 nucleotides) under Dromaius novaehollandiae (emu). RNAcentral describes it as "lncRNA (ENSDNVG00000019020.1)". Lineage: Eukaryota; Metazoa; Chordata; Aves; Casuariiformes; Dromaiidae. The record is from RNAcentral.
UGCGAUGAGCACAAGGCGACAGUACUGCUUUCUUGAUGACAGCUACCAGUGCAUGGAAAUGCUGUGAUCGGAUUACCAAAAAUUAGUGGAGGACUGAUAACAGAAUCAAGGACAGAGUGGCAUGAGGAUUCAGAGCUGCCAGCUGAGGGAUCUCCACAUCUACUGCAGAGAAGCAAAAACUAUUGGAGUUUGGAUUUUCCUGCUGGACUGUAAUACCACACCUGUCUGUGGGAGAGGAAGCUCAGGUCACAUCACAAGACAAGUCUGCUCGGGCUUUCCCCUCAGCCCACCACAGCUGAGACUUGGAC